This 1605-nucleotide ribosomal RNA is filed under the name Scolecobasidium cordanae. Its description in RNAcentral is "Ochroconis cordanae partial 28S ribosormal RNA". The stretch from base 211 to 1605 matches the Rfam family "Eukaryotic large subunit ribosomal RNA", at positions 1 to 1413 of the family's 3401-position model. The record is from RNAcentral. Lineage: Eukaryota; Fungi; Ascomycota; Dothideomycetes; Venturiales; Sympoventuriaceae.
GCACCCCUUGGUAUUCCGGGGGGUACGCCUGUUCGAGCGCCAUCACACACCCCAAGCUCUGCUUGAUGUUGGACGAUGCCUUGGCCCUUCUGGGCUGGGGCACGUCUGGAACCCGUGGGCGCCCCCGCCGAACCACGAGCGUAGCAAGACGCAAGUCACUCGCUUCUGUCGGUCUCGGUGGAGGGUCUGCCUUAAUCCAUUUCUGAAGAUUGGCCUCGGAUCAGGUGGGGAUACCCGCUGAACUUAAGCAUAUCAAUAAGCGGAGGAAAAGAAACCAACAGGGAUUGCCUCAGUAACGGCGAGUGAAGCGGCAACAGCUCAAAUUUGAAAUCUGGGGCCUUCGGCUCCCGAGUUGUAAUUUGUAGAGGAUGCCUCGGGGGGUGCUUCGGCCCAAGUUCCUUGGAACAGGAUACCACAGAGGGUGAGAGUCCCGUAUCCGGCCGGCAGUACCCUCCGCGCGAGGCUCCUUCGACGAGUCGAGUUGUUUGGGAAUGCAGCUCUAAGCGGGUGGUAAAUUCCAUCUAAAGCUAAAUACUGGCCAGAGACCGAUAGCGAACAAGUAGAGUGAUCGAAAGAUGAAAAGCACUUUGAAAAGAGAGUCAAACAGUACGUGAAAUUGUUGAAAGGGAAGCGUAUGGGGGCAGACUUGGCCGCGGGGUUCAGGGUGUCUUUUGGCGCCUGUACUUCCCCGUGGGCAGGCCAGCAUCGGUUUUGGGGGUUGGAUAAAGGCGUCGGGAAUGUGGCUCCCCUCGGGGAGUGUUAUAGCCCGUCGCGCAAUGCAGCCACCCGGGAUCGAGGACCGCGCUUCGGCAAGGAUGCUGGCGUAAUGGCCUCAUACGGCCCGUCUUGAAACACGGACCAAGGAGUCUAACAUCUAUGCGAGUGUUUGGGUGUCAAGCCCGAGCGCGCAAUGAAAGUGAACGGAGGUGGGAGCCCGUAAAAAGGCGCACCAUCGACCGAUCCUGACGUCUUCUGAGGGAUUUGAGUAAGAGCAUAGCUGUUGGGACCCGAAAGAUGGUGAACUAUGCGUGAAUAGGGUGAAGCCAGAGGAAACUCUGGUGGAGGCUCGCAGCGGUUCUGACGUGCAAAUCGAUCGUCAAAUUUGCGUAUAGGGGCGAAAGACUAAUCGAACCAUCUAGUAGCUGGUUCCUGCCGAAGUUUCCCUCAGGAUAGCAGUAACGUUUUCAGUUUUAUGAGGUAAAGCGAACGAUUAGGGAGCUAGGGGCUGAAACAGCCUUUAUCCAUUCUCGAACUUUAAAUAUGUAAGAAGUCCUUGUUACUUUGUUGAACGUGGACAAUCGAAUGCAGCGUUACUAGUGGGCCAUUUUUGGUAAGCAGAACUGGCGAUGCGGGAUGAACCGAACGCGGGGUUAAGGUGCCGGAAUGCACGCUCAUCAGACACCACAAAAGGUGUUGGUUCAUCCAGACAGCAGGACGGUGGCCAUGGAAGUCGGAAUCCGCUAAGGAGUGUGUAACAACUCACCUGCCGAAUGAACCAGCCCUGAAAAUGGAUGGCGCUCAAGCGUGCUACCCAUACCCCGCCGUCUGUGUUCGAUUUAGACGCAGACGAGUAGGCAGGCGUGGAGGUUCCGUGACGAAGCCCAG